Molecule: ribosomal RNA, 2903 nt
Filed under: Citrobacter freundii
Lineage: Bacteria; Pseudomonadati; Pseudomonadota; Gammaproteobacteria; Enterobacterales; Enterobacteriaceae
Description: 23S ribosomal RNA
Rfam family: Bacterial large subunit ribosomal RNA
Source: RNAcentral
GGUUAAGCGACUAAGCGUACACGGUGGAUGCCCUGGCAGUCAGAGGCGAUGAAGGACGUGCUAAUCUGCGAUAAGCGUCGGUAAGGUGAUAUGAACCGUUAUAGCCGGCGAUUUCCGAAUGGGGAAACCCAGUGUGUUUCGACACACUAUCAUUACGUGAAUACAUAGCGUAAUGAAGCGAACCGGGGAACUGAAACAUCUAAGUACCCCGAGGAAAAGAAAUCAACCGAGAUUCCCCCAGUAGCGGCGAGCGAACGGGGAGCAGCCCAGAGUCUGAAUCAGCUUGUGUGUUAGUGGAACGGUCUGGAAAGUCCGACGGUACAGGGUGAUAGUCCCGUACACCAAAAUGCACAGGUUGUGAACUCGAAGAGUAGGGCGGGACACGUGGUAUCCUGUCUGAAUAUGGGGGGACCAUCCUCCAAGGCUAAAUACUCCUGACUGACCGAUAGUGAACCAGUACCGUGAGGGAAAGGCGAAAAGAACCCCGGCGAGGGGAGUGAAAAAGAACCUGAAACCGUGUACGUACAAGCAGUGGGAGCCUCUUUAUGGGGUGACUGCGUACCUUUUGUAUAAUGGGUCAGCGACUUAUAUUCUGUAGCAAGGUUAACCGUAUAGGGGAGCCGAAGGGAAACCGAGUCUUAACUGGGCGUUAAGUUGCAGGGUAUAGACCCGAAACCCGGUGAUCUAGCCAUGGGCAGGUUGAAGGUUGGGUAACACUAACUGGAGGACCGAACCGACUAAUGUUGAAAAAUUAGCGGAUGACUUGUGGCUGGGGGUGAAAGGCCAAUCAAACCGGGAGAUAGCUGGUUCUCCCCGAAAGCUAUUUAGGUAGCGCCUCGUGAACUCAUCUUCGGGGGUAGAGCACUGUUUCGGCUAGGGGUCAUCCCGACUUACCAACCCGAUGCAAACUGCGAAUACCGAAGAAUGUUAUCACGGGAGACACACGGCGGGUGCUAACGUCCGUCGUGAAGAGGGAAACAACCCAGACCGCCAGCUAAGGUCCCAAAGUCAUGGUUAAGUGGGAAACGAUGUGGGAAGGCACAGACAGCCAGGAUGUUGGCUUAGAAGCAGCCAUCAUUUAAAGAAAGCGUAAUAGCUCACUGGUCGAGUCGGCCUGCGCGGAAGAUGUAACGGGGCUAAACCAUGCACCGAAGCUGCGGCAGCGACACUAUGUGUUGUUGGGUAGGGGAGCGUUCUGUAAGCCGUUGAAGGUGUAUCGUGAGGUAUGCUGGAGGUAUCAGAAGUGCGAAUGCUGACAUAAGUAACGAUAAUGCGGGUGAAAAACCCGCACGCCGGAAGACCAAGGGUUCCUGUCCAACGUUAAUCGGGGCAGGGUGAGUCGACCCCUAAGGCGAGGCCGAAAGGCGUAGUCGAUGGGAAACAGGUUAAUAUUCCUGUACUUGGUGUUACUGCGAAGGGGGACGGAGAAGGCUAUGUUAGCCGGGCGACGGUUGUCCCGGUUUAAGCAUGUAGGCGGAGGUUCCAGGUAAAUCCGGUACCUUUUUAACGCUGAGGUGUGAUGACGAGGCACUACGGUGCUGAAGUAACAAAUGCCCUGCUUCCAGGAAAAGCCUCUAAGCAUCAGGUAACACGAAAUCGUACCCCAAACCGACACAGGUGGUCAGGUAGAGAAUACCAAGGCGCUUGAGAGAACUCGGGUGAAGGAACUAGGCAAAAUGGUGCCGUAACUUCGGGAGAAGGCACGCUGAUAUGUAGGUGAAGUGAUUUACUCAUGGAGCUGAAAUCAGUCGAAGAUACCAGCUGGCUGCAACUGUUUAUUAAAAACACAGCACUGUGCAAACACGAAAGUGGACGUAUACGGUGUGACGCCUGCCCGGUGCCGGAAGGUUAAUUGAUGGGGUUAUCCGUAAGGAGAAGCUCUUGAUCGAAGCCCCGGUAAACGGCGGCCGUAACUAUAACGGUCCUAAGGUAGCGAAAUUCCUUGUCGGGUAAGUUCCGACCUGCACGAAUGGCGUAAUGAUGGCCAGGCUGUCUCCACCCGAGACUCAGUGAAAUUGAACUCGCUGUGAAGAUGCAGUGUACCCGCGGCAAGACGGAAAGACCCCGUGAACCUUUACUAUAGCUUGACACUGAACACUGGUCCUUGAUGUGUAGGAUAGGUGGGAGGCUUUGAAGUGUGGACGCCAGUCUGCAUGGAGCCAUCCUUGAAAUACCACCCUUUAAUGGCUGGUGUUCUAACGUGGACCCGUUACCCGGGUUGCGGACAGUGUCUGGUGGGUAGUUUGACUGGGGCGGUCUCCUCCUAAAGAGUAACGGAGGAGCACGAAGGUUAGCUAAUCCUGGUCGGACAUCAGGAGGUUAGUGCAAAGGCAUAAGCUAGCUUGACUGCGAGAGUGACGGCUCGAGCAGGUGCGAAAGCAGGUCUUAGUGAUCCGGUGGUUCUGAAUGGAAGGGCCAUCGCUCAACGGAUAAAAGGUACUCCGGGGAUAACAGGCUGAUACCGCCCAAGAGUUCAUAUCGACGGCGGUGUUUGGCACCUCGAUGUCGGCUCAUCACAUCCUGGGGCUGAAGUAGGUCCCAAGGGUAUGGCUGUUCGCCAUUUAAAGUGGUACGCGAGCUGGGUUUAGAACGUCGUGAGACAGUUCGGUCCCUAUCUGCCGUGGGCGCUGGAGAAUUGAGGGGGCUGCUCCUAGUACGAGAGGACCGGAGUGGACGCAUCACUGGUGUUCGGGUUGUCAUGCCAAUGGCAUUGCCCGGUAGCUAAAUGCGGAAGAGAUAAGUGCUGAAAGCAUCUAAGCACGAAACUUGCCCCGAGAUGAGUUCUCCCUGAGACUAUAAGUCUCCUGAAGGAACGUUGAAGACGACGACGUUGAUAGGUCGGGUGUGUAAGUGUAGCGAUACAUUGAGCUAACCGAUACUAAUGAACCGUGAGGCUUAACCUU